Molecule: long non-coding RNA, 290 nt
Organism: Mesoplodon densirostris (Blainville's beaked whale)
Lineage: Eukaryota; Metazoa; Chordata; Mammalia; Artiodactyla; Ziphiidae
Exons: 3
Source: RefSeq, a predicted model, not a curated record
ACGCAGCUUGAAAUGAACGUGAUCCAUCAGUGGAAUGAAAGCCUUGGUCCGGUUGCCCCAGCAUGACAGAGCAGACCAGUACCAGGCACUGUCUUUCUCCUGCACCUGAUAAAUUGCAAGAGGCUCCAUCCCUGCAGUUCCAGUUCGUCCACUAGGUGGCAGAAUAUCAACAUUCAUCAUCCAUGGGAGGCCUGCCUCUUAGAAAGAGAGGAAAUUCGGGCUGCUGCAGUGUUUCUGCUGCUGUUGCCGUUACUAUAGGAGACUCCUAGGAGCUGCCGUUUCUUAUGGUG